Non-coding RNA from Chrysemys picta bellii (western painted turtle), 359 nucleotides. Lineage: Eukaryota; Metazoa; Chordata; Testudines; Emydidae. The record is from RefSeq and is a predicted model, not a curated record.
AGAGGGAGCUUCCCCAGGGGGGUCUCAGCUGGAUUAUGAUAACGUGGAGGAGCCUGCCUUGAACGACGUCCCCCAGACUCCAGACGGCCGAGAUGCCCCUGCCCUGCCUGGAGAUGUCCCAGGGGAUGGUUAUGAUGAUGCCAGAGAAGUGUCUGAUCCUGAAGGUGACCCUGGUUUGGGGCAGAAUGAUGAGGAAGGCACUGGGGUGAGUGACAGGAGCAGGGAUUCACAGACAGGUUGGAAUCUGCACUCGCUAGGGAAUGAAGGUGUCUCUGUGACAGAGAAAGAAACCCUGUCCCUGCCUCUUGGAGACACAAGUUAUGAUGAUGUGGGACAUGGUGACUCUGGGGGAUCAGUAU